GUGCCAACCAAUCUAUGCAUAAAACUUCUUAAACGAAAGAAAACAGUUCUAAGGAGAACAGUUCUGUUUUAAGAACAUAUUUGUGCUCUUAUGAGAUUAAUAUCUUUCACCAGGAAGGAUUUAUUUUACUGUAAUAGCUGUACACACUAUUUAGGAAAGUACUGUUAGGCAGAGGACACAGUUCUGACUGAUGGGACUGAUUCACAAGUCACAAACUGGAUGUGUGUGUUGUGGGUGCCAGACCUCAGACACGGCCACUGCACCAAGCAAACAAAGGAUUAUUUUCCCCUCGUUAAUGUUAAUUUCAGACUCAUACAUAUAACUGCCAGCAUUCAAAACAAAACAUUAUUUUCACGUGACUCGUGUUGGAGCGCUCGAAAGAGUUUUACUGUGGAACGUGGUCUUGUAGGCGGGUAGUUCCACUGGCUCACACGAGCAGCCGAUCAGACCAGGAGGUAUCUUGGUUUCCAGGUGCGACUCUUCUCCUAGAUGGGACACCAGUCCAUCACAGACCCCACCAUCAGCAGACUGCAGUCUCUGUUCAAGAAGCUGCGUGGACUGGACUAUUCAGGACAACAGCCGUGUACGGUAUACUACAGUGACUCGAACCCACAGCCCCCCCCCGUGAGGCUGGAGACUUACCCACAAUGCUACACUGUUCUACUUCAACGAGAUUGCCGAGGCCAGGAUCCUGUGUCAGUCCAACAGAGAACAUCCAGAUAAACCUAGGAUCACCUGGGAGCACAUUCACAAAGGCUGCCAUGCCCUUAAAACCGAAAAGGAAACGCAACGUUUCGGCCACGGAGCCUUCUUCAGGUGUGUUGACAGGUGUGUGUUUUCUUUCUUCUCUUUUCAGCAUGGAAUAAACCUACUACUUGUUCCUUUGUAGCCUACGCAUGCUGACGCAGCUACCCACCUGAACUA
This 924-nucleotide long non-coding RNA is filed under the name Lepisosteus oculatus (spotted gar). RNAcentral's name for it is "lncRNA (ENSLOCG00000021174.1)". The record is from RNAcentral. Lineage: Eukaryota; Metazoa; Chordata; Actinopteri; Semionotiformes; Lepisosteidae.